This 912-nucleotide long non-coding RNA is filed under the name Equus caballus (horse). RNAcentral describes it as "lncRNA (ENSECAG00000055208.1)". Lineage: Eukaryota; Metazoa; Chordata; Mammalia; Perissodactyla; Equidae. The record is from RNAcentral.
GAAGUAUGUUCCCUGGACCAGCGGUAUCAACAUCACCUGGGAAGAUGUAGAAGCACAAAUUCUCCUGCCUACUCCAGACCUACGGAAUUAGAAACUCUGGGGCUGGAGCUCAGUAAUCUGUGAUUUACCAGUCCUCCAGGUGAUUCUGAAACAUGCUCUCGUGUGAGGACCACUGCUGUAAAGGCAAGUCUGUCCACUUGUAAAACCCUGUGAUUCUACCUUGCCUGAUAAUCUUCACCAACUCGAAACUGUAGUGAACUCCGUAUCCUCUCAUUGAGCAGACCUCUUGGCCUCAAAAGGAGAUGUAAGUCCUUGGAAAGAGUUAGUGAUGCGACCACUCAAUUCCGUGGCCUCAGUGUCUUACCAAGCCCUUGACUCCUGGUGUUUGUCCUCAUAGUCCCUGUGCUCUGUGCCUGUUAUUAAGGUCAGAAGGACCUACUCCUGCACCCAAACUCACCAUCUGCUUACCCGGCAGACAGAAGAGAUGGAAGCAGAGGGAACACCCACAGCACAGGAUCAGUCAUCAGCAGUGCUCAGAACAAGGCCUCGGACUCUUCUCUCAAUUCAACUCUUCCAGCAACUCUCCUGUUUUCCCAUCUUGCUUGGAAGAGCGCAGACCAACGGGUAACACAGAUGAAAGCAAUGUUACCAUAAUACUCAGUAUUUAGAAUAAUACCUUUAUUCCAGGGUGCUCUGCAGACAUUACCUCAUUAAUCUUCAUAACAUCUUUAAGAAAGGAGGAGGGAAUAGUUUCUGCCCUCAUUUAAUGGAUGGCAUAGCAAUGGCUUAAGGCCAGGACAUGAUUCAGUGUCAUGGCUGAAACAAAGCCACAUUCCCCAAACCCUCAGGUCGGGGCACCAUCAGCCGCUUCAGGAGUAAGCGUAGCUCUUUGGGGUAGCCAACAGGGAAGGG